CAGGCUUAACACAUGCAAGUCGAGGGGCAGCAUUUCAGUUUGCUUGCAAACUGGAGAUGGCGACCGGCGCACGGGUGAGUAACACGUAUCCAACCUGCCGAUAACUCGGGGAUAGCCUUUCGAAAGAAAGAUUAAUACCCGAUGGUAUAAUCAGACCGCAUGGUCUUGUUAUUAAAGAAUUUCGGUUAUCGAUGGGGAUGCGUUCCAUUAGGCAGUUGGUGAGGUAACGGCUCACCAAACCUUCGAUGGAUAGGGGUUCUGAGAGGAAGGUCCCCCACAUUGGAACUGAGACACGGUCCAAACUCCUACGGGAGGCAGCAGUGAGGAAUAUUGGUCAAUGGGCGCAGGCCUGAACCAGCCAAGUAGCGUGAAGGAUGACUGCCCUAUGGGUUGUAAACUUCUUUUAUAUGGGAAUAAAGUUUUCCACGUGUGGAAUUUUGUAUGUACCAUAUGAAUAAGGAUCGGCUAACUCCGUGCCAGCAGCCGCGGUAAUACGGAGGAUCCGAGCGUUAUCCGGAUUUAUUGGGUUUAAAGGGAGCGUAGGUGGACAGUUAAGUCAGUUGUGAAAGUUUGCGGCUCAACCGUAAAAUUGCAGUUGAUACUGGCUGUCUUGAGUACAGUAGAGGUGGGCGGAAUUCGUGGUGUAGCGGUGAAAUGCUUAGAUAUCACGAAGAACUCCGAUUGCGAAGGCAGCUCGCUGGACUGCAACUGACACUGAUGCUCGAAAGUGUGGGUAUCAAACAGGAUUAGAUACCCUGGUAGUCCACACAGUAAACGAUGAAUACUCGCUGUUUGCGAUAUACAGUAAGCGGCCAAGCGAAAGCAUUAAGUAUUCCACCUGGGGAGUACGCCGGCAACGGUGAAACUCAAAGGAAUUGACGGGGGCCCGCACAAGCGGAGGAACAUGUGGUUUAAUUCGAUGAUACGCGAGGAACCUUACCCGGGCUUAAAUUGCAUUUGAAUAUAUUGGAAACAGUAUAGCCGUAAGGCAAAUGUGAAGGUGCUGCAUGGUUGUCGUCAGCUCGUGCCGUGAGGUGUCGGCUUAAGUGCCAUAACGAGCGCAACCCUUAUCUUUAGUUACUAACAGGUCAUGCUGAGGACUCUAGAGAGACUGCCGUCGUAAGAUGUGAGGAAGGUGGGGAUGACGUCAAAUCAGCACGGCCCUUACGUCCGGGGCUACACACGUGUUACAAUGGGGGGUACAGAAGGCAGCUACCUGGUGACAGGAUGCUAAUCCCAAAAGCCUCUCUCAGUUCGGAUCGAAGUCUGCAACCCGACUUCGUGAAGCUGGAUUCGCUAGUAAUCGCGCAUCAGCCAUGGCGCGGUGAAUACGUUCCCGGGCCUUGUACACACCGCCCGUCAAGCCAUGAAAGCCGGGGGUACCUGAAGUACGUAACAGCAAGGAGCGUCCUAGGGUAAAACUGGUAAUUG
This 1431-nucleotide ribosomal RNA is filed under the name uncultured organism. RNAcentral's name for it is "16S ribosomal RNA". It matches the Rfam family "Bacterial small subunit ribosomal RNA". The record is from RNAcentral.